Dreissena polymorpha is the source of this 1559-nucleotide long non-coding RNA. RefSeq lists it as uncharacterized. The record is from RefSeq and is a predicted model, not a curated record. The transcript has 2 exons. Lineage: Eukaryota; Metazoa; Mollusca; Bivalvia; Myida; Dreissenidae.
GUUGGCGUCGGCGUCCGGUUAAGUUUUGCGUUUAGGUCCACUUUUCUCAGAAAGUAUCAAUGCUAUUGCAUUCAAACUUAGUACACUUACUUACUAUCAUGAGGGGACUGGGCAGGCAAAGUAAGAUAACUCUGGCGUGCAUUUUGACAGAGUUAUGUGCCCUUUUUAUACGCCCGUCUAUGACGGGACGUAUUAUGGUAUACCCCGCGUCCGUCUGUCCGUCCGUCUGUCCGUCCGUCCGUCCGUCCGUCUGUUAAUGUCGUACGCUACGUCAAAUAUCCUUUGACAGAUUUUCUUCAAAUUUUAACACAAUCUUAAUAUUGAUAAACCCUGAUCCCCUUUCGUUUUUGACGGAAUUCUGAAUUGUCGUUCCAGAGUUAUGGGACUUUGUUCGUCAAAAUUUCGUGAUUUCAUUGAAUGUCCUACUGUAGCUCAAAUAUCCUUCGAUGGAUUUUUUUCAAAUUUCAACACAAUCUUAAUAUUGAUAAACCCUGAUCCCCUUUCGUUUUUGACGGAAUUCUGAAUUGUCGUUCCAGAGUUAUGGGACUUUGUUCGUCAAAAUUUCGUGAUUUCAUUGAAUGUCCUACUGUAGCUAUAUAAAAAUGUUAAAGUUGUUAUAACUUUGGUAUGCUUGGACCUAGAGUCUUGAAACUUGACAUGAAGGUUGGCCAGAACUAGUAAGUAACCACUGGACAUUUCAAGGUCGUUCAUUUGAAGGUCAAGGUCACUGUGACCUUGAAUGUAAAAAUGUUAAAGUUCUUAUUUCAUGUUAUAACUUUGGUAUGCUUGUACCUAGAGUCUUCAAACUUGAAAUAAAGAUUGGCCAGUACUAGAAGAUGACCACUGGUCAUUUCAAUGUCAUUCAUUUGAAGGUCAAGGUCACUGUGACCUUAAAUGUUAAAAUGUUAAAAUUGUUAUAACUUUGGUAUGCUUGGACAUAGAGUCUUCAAACUUGACAUGAAGGUUUGCAAGCACACUUAGAUGACCACUGGUCAUUUCAAGGUCAUUCAUUCUAAGGUCAAGGUCACUGUGACCUUAAAUGUUAUUGUUGUUCAUGUAUCCUACCGUAGCUCAAAUAUCCCCCGAUGGAUUUUUUAUACGCCCGUCUAUGACGGGACGUAUUAUGGUAUACCCCGCGUCCGUCUGUCCGUCCGUCCGUCCGUCCGUCCGUCUGUUAAUGUUGUACGCUACGUCAAAUAUCCUUUGACAGAUUUUCUUCAAAUUUUAACACAAUCUUAAUAUUGAUAAACCCUGAUCCCCUUUCGUUUUUGACGGAAUUCUGAAUUUUCGUUCCAGAGUUAUGGGACUUUGUUCGUCAAAAUUUCGUGAUUUCAUUGAAUGUCCUACUGUAGCUCAAAUAUCCUUCGAUGGAUUUUUUUCAAAUUUCAACACAAUCUUAAUAUUGAUAAACCCUGAUCCCCUUUCGUUUUUGACGGAAUUCUGAAUUGUCGUUCCAGAGUUAUGGGACUUUGUUCGUCAAAAUUUCGUGAUUUCCAUGCUCAUGUACUUAUAAAAUAAACCAUGUAUUCAAAUACAAAUAAACUGAAGUAAAAAAAUGA